Molecule: long non-coding RNA, 1866 nt
Filed under: Cicer arietinum (chickpea)
Lineage: Eukaryota; Viridiplantae; Streptophyta; Magnoliopsida; Fabales; Fabaceae
Description: long non-coding RNA (CARI_LNC002842)
Source: RNAcentral
UAGAAAAUGUUUCCCUUACUUCCUUCUUAGAAGUUUUCUACAUUCCGGUUAGGGCGAAUUCAUUUUCUCAUUUUUCCUCUCAGAAAUUGAUCUCUUCUCUGGUAACAAUUUGAUUUCCUUCGACUUUCCUUUUCGAUUCGUAUUAUUCUUCAAUCCUUUUGUUCGAAUCUUUCCAUUUUGAUUUUCUGUGAUUCGUAUUAUUCUUCAAUAUUUCCUUUUCGAUUCGUAUUAUUCUUCAAUCUUUCCUUUUUGAUUUUCUGCGAUUCGAUUUAGCACUUCUUCUCUCAAAUCGUAAAAUCGUUCCUCUUCUCUCAAAUCGUUCUUCUUCUCCUUUGAAAUCGAUUUUAUUCAUCCAGUUUUGUUCAAUUUCGUUUGUCAUCUCACAAAAUCGUAAAAAUUAAGUUUCAAAUCGUUCUCCCAUCCCAAUCUCAAGUAAAUUUCGUUCUUCCAUCACAAUUUCUUCGAAAUCCAUUUCACUGGAUUAUCAGGCUCUAUAAAUGAAACCUUUUAUUCCAUUGAAUGAAACCUUUUAUUCUUCCAGAUUAAUAUUGCUCUAUAAAUUGUUCUAUACAUCUCUCCUAAAUAUUUGAAAGAGAACACACUUGUAUUAUGUUGAGCCUCAAAGAGUAGAAUAGUAGCUUCUCUAUGUGUCAUGUUUGUUUUGUGUCUUCUGAAGAUGAAAAACAUUCUUUUACACCAACGAAGAACUUCAUAUUAUGUUAUUUGAACUGACUUUUGCUUGUAGCCUAGCUCUGAUUUUUGAAGACAGAUUACUGGCGGUCAAAAAUCUACUUCUUUUUAUUGUCUUAAAUGAAUAGAAAUGAAUUUUUGAGACAUAUAGUUUGUUGGAUUAGAUAUUUUAGACUUAUACUGCAGCAAUAUCCACUGCUAUAUUGAUUUUCUCAGGUUUAUCUUUACUCAAAGUUGGUGGAAGAAUGGUUUAUUCAACAUGCUCAAUGAAUCCUAUUGAGAAUGAAGCUGUGGUUGCAGAGGUAAUCUACUUUGAGUGCUAUAUAGUCUAUACUGUUAUGUAGUCUUGCUAGUUGCUGGGUUGACAUAGAAAAGUGCUUUAGCAUAGUAAUUUGAAAACAAUUAAGCAAGUAUAGGCUUGCAAAUUUCAGCCACAAAAAAACUGCAACACGUUUUUCUUGCAUAAUUUAUUUAUUGUCGUCGUGUCUCAGCUUAGCCCCAAAAUCAGUUCAUUCCUCUUUCACUGGCAUAGCGUAUGCCUAGCUCACGGUACUAAGGUGAGGUGGUUGUUUGAAUUGCAGCUAUUUUGGGUUUAUUUUCCUAUUACCCCUGACUAGCCUUCUACCCUCACUCCCAACAUUUUAUUAAUAGUAUGAGUGCUAAGUGAUAUCUGUUCUGGUAGUAAAUCAGUAGGAAAUUGUGAGAACUUAUGGUGGGGGAGAAUACACCUGAAAAGAGUUUGAAAAGUUUUGUUGACCAAGGCAUCCGAUACGAGGUAACUGUUCCUUACACCGCUCAACAUAAUGGAUUAGUAGACAAAAGAAAUAAAAUAGUCCUAGAUAUGGUUAGAAGCAUAUGAUGAAACAAAGAAAUGUGCCUCAUUGGUUUUGGGGUAAGGCAGUAACCAUUGCAGCCUAUGUCCUAAAUAGAUAUCUGUUCUGGUAGUAAAUCAGUAGGAAAUUGUGAGAACUUAUGGUGGGGGAGAAUACACCUGAAAAGAGUUUGAAAAGUUUUGUUGACCAAGGCAUCCGAUACGAGGUAACUGUUCCUUACACCGCUCAACAUAAUGGAUUAGUAGACAAAAGAAAUAAAAUAGUCCUAGAUAUGGUUAGAAGCAUAUGAUGAAACAAAGAAAUGUGCCUCAUUGGUUUUGGGGUAAGGCAGUAACCAUUGCAG